UAAAAAUUGUAAAUACCUC
Molecule: microRNA, 19 nt
Filed under: Chiloscyllium plagiosum (whitespotted bambooshark)
Lineage: Eukaryota; Metazoa; Chordata; Chondrichthyes; Orectolobiformes; Hemiscylliidae
Description: microRNA PC-5p-1950053_1
Source: RNAcentral